Molecule: small nucleolar RNA, 125 nt
Organism: Otolemur garnettii (small-eared galago)
Lineage: Eukaryota; Metazoa; Chordata; Mammalia; Primates; Galagidae
Source: Ensembl
UGAUCAUUACCAAGGCUUUUAGAAUUCAGUUUCUUACUUGCUGUGGACGUGACCAUAAAAAGACUUCCCUCUAGGUUUUCUAUCUGCUACCUUGCUAGCUAGCAAUCCACCUAUUAGGAACAUUU